Molecule: ribosomal RNA, 403 nt
Filed under: uncultured Eubacteriales bacterium
Lineage: Bacteria; Bacillati; Bacillota; Clostridia; Eubacteriales
Description: uncultured Clostridiales bacterium partial 16S ribosomal RNA
Rfam family: Bacterial small subunit ribosomal RNA
Source: RNAcentral
UGGGGGAUAUUGCACAAUGGGGGAAACCCUGAUGCAGCAACGCCGCGUGAAGGAAGAAGGUCUUCGGAUUGUAAACUUCUUUGAUGAGGGAAGAAUAAUGACGGUACCUCAAAAACAAGCCACGGCUAACUACGUGCCAGCAGCCGCGGUAAUACGUAGGUGGCAAGCGUUGUCCGGAUUUACUGGGUGUAAAGGGUGCGUAGGCGGACUUGCAAGUCAGAUGUGAAAUACCGGGGCUUAACCCCGGGGCUGCAUUUGAAACUGCAGGGCUUGAGUGAUGGAGAGGUAAGUGGAAUUCCCAGUGUAGCGGUGAAAUGCGUAGAUAUUGGGAGGAACACCAGUGGCGAAGGCGACUUACUGGACAUUAACUGACGCUGAGGCACGAAAGCGUGGGUAGCAAACA